RNAcentral lists this ribosomal RNA (627 nucleotides) under uncultured bacterium. RNAcentral describes it as "bacterial SSU rRNA". It matches the Rfam family "Bacterial small subunit ribosomal RNA", at positions 242 to 860 of the family's 1533-position model. The record is from RNAcentral.
UAGCUAGUUGGUAAGGUAACGGCUUACCAAGGCAAUGAUGCAUAGCCGAGUUGAGAGACUGAUCGGCCACAUUGGGACUGAGACACGGCCCAAACUCCUACGGGAGGCAGCAGUAGGGAAUCUUCCACAAUGGACGAAAGUCUGAUGGAGCAACGCCGCGUGAGUGAAGAAGGGUUUCGGCUCGUAAAGCUCUGUUGGUAGUGAAGAAAGAUAGAGGUAGUAACUGGCCUUUAUUUGACGGUAAUUACUUAGAAAGUCACGGCUAACUACGUGCCAGCAGCCGCGGUAAUACGUAGGUGGCAAGCGUUGUCCGGAUUUAUUGGGCGUAAAGCGAGUGCAGGCGGUUCAAUAAGUCUGAUGUGAAAGCCUUCGGCUCAACCGGAGAAUUGCAUCAGAAACUGUUGAACUUGAGUGCAGAAGAGGAGAGUGGAACUCCAUGUGUAGCGGUGGAAUGCGUAGAUAUAUGGAAGAACACCAGUGGCGAAGGCGGCUCUCUGGUCUGCAACUGACGCUGAGGCUCGAAAGCAUGGGUAGCGAACAGGAUUAGAUACCCUGGUAGUCCAUGCCGUAAACGAUGAGUGCUAAGUGUUGGGAGGUUUCCGCCUCUCAGUGCUGCAGCUAACGCAU